GCUGGUGUCUGCGCUCUGUGGCAAACAACCGCGCCAAACAGUCGCUGUCGACGGGCGGCAGGCCUCUGCUUUUGUAGUAAGGCGCGCGCGCUAGAUCCCAUAGGCCAGGGGCGACGUAGACCGCGCACAGGCUCACGCAUACGGCGUAGGGUUUGCGCCGCCGGGGCAUUUCGCGUAUGCGGGACCCGCACAGUCUGUCUACACUGUCCAGGGCCUCGCGAAUAGCCAACGCAUCACAGUCGCGCUCCAGGGCGUCCAAGUCUGUCUUGUCGGCCGCUGCGGUGAUGCAAUGCGUCCGUGGCAGCACGAUGCCUGUGCGCACGUUGGUCGAAGCAUCGGCAUAGGCCAUCCAUCGGCGAUGACCCACGAGUCCGGCGAUCUCCAUGGCGCAAUGGGCCGCGUCGUCGCUGUCCGGACCCAAAGACGCACGCAGCCAUCGCAUAACGUGCGACGCCAGUUCCGGUCCCCUCCAAAAGUCGGCCAUGCGGUCGACGCCCCGGCUCAUGUAACCACCUCGAGAAAACAUGGGAUGCGAUGGAUCGGUCGCAGUCGCCAAGCGCGCCUCCAACUCGGCGCGCGCCGUAUCGACCGUCUCCGCUGGCCCGGUCCAGAGCGUGUGUCCGUUGAGCGCAAUUGUGGCCGUUGCAUCAUCACCACUGACGCGGCACUGAAGAUUCGACGUAAUCCACAAUGUCUUGUGCUCUGCGUAGGCGCGCGCCACAAGAUCGAUGGCGGACGCGGCCUCAGGGGUCCCGUGUUGGCGGCGCGGUGUGUUGACUGCUGUCGUCGAUAAUGUUGUUGCCGCUGGCGCUGUUGUCGUCAUGACCGAACAAGCCGUGCCAAAUGUAUUUUUUUUUCUAUC
RNAcentral lists this long non-coding RNA (862 nucleotides) under Pandoravirus neocaledonia. RNAcentral's name for it is "hypothetical ncRNA". The record is from RNAcentral.